Molecule: long non-coding RNA, 273 nt
Organism: Eleginops maclovinus (Patagonian blennie)
Lineage: Eukaryota; Metazoa; Chordata; Actinopteri; Perciformes; Eleginopidae
Exons: 3
Source: RefSeq, a predicted model, not a curated record
GGAAGCGGAGAGCCGGAGUGCAGCAUGGGGAGACGGAGCACCGGGAUCAGCAGAGCAAGUUUUGCCGCCUGCUGCCCUGAGCCUUCCCCCGUCUUUCUGCCACUCCUGGAUCUGAAGAGAGUUAGUGAUAUCCCGGAGAGUUCGUAAGGGGCAGAAUAAAAGACAACAACAAGGCGGUGAGGGCUGCAGCUAAUGGAGAGGCUGUAAUUGUGAAUGGAAGCAUUCAUCUGGAGACGUCGUCCGUGAAUUGCGCCGCACAAUGCGCAGAGACGG